This 468-nucleotide ribosomal RNA is filed under the name uncultured bacterium. Its description in RNAcentral is "partial 16S ribosomal RNA". It matches the Rfam family "Bacterial small subunit ribosomal RNA", at positions 28 to 507 of the family's 1533-position model. The record is from RNAcentral.
GACGAACGCUGGCGGCGUGCUUAACACAUGCAAGUCGAACGGAAAGGCCCUGCUUUUGUGGGGUGCUCGAUUGGCGAACGGGUGAGUAACACGUGAGUAACCUGCCCUUGACUUUGGGAUAACUUCAGGAAACUGGGGCUAAUACCGGAUAGGAUCUCCUGCUGCAUGGUGGGGGUUGGAAAGUUUCGGCGGUUGGGGAUGGACUCGCGGCUUAUCAGCUUGUUGGUGGGGUAGUGGCUUACCAAGGCUUUGACGGGUAGCCGGCCUGAGAGGGUGACCGGCCACAUUGGGACUGAGAUACGGCCCAGACUCCUACGGGAGGCAGCAGUGGGGAAUAUUGCACAAUGGGCGGAAGCCUGAUGCAGCAACGCCGCGUGCGGGAUAACGGCCUUCGGGUUGUAAACCGCUUUCGCCUGUGACGAAGCGUGAGUGACGGUAAUGGGUAAAGAAGCACCGGCUAACUACGUG